Non-coding RNA from Moniliophthora roreri, 92 nucleotides. The record is from Rfam. Lineage: Eukaryota; Fungi; Basidiomycota; Agaricomycetes; Agaricales; Marasmiaceae.
GGCACUAUAGCCAAGUGGUUACGGCGACAGAUUCGAAUCGAAGGUUUAUCUGUUCCUCUUUGAGGGCGCAGGUUCAAAUCCUGCUGGUGUCG